RNAcentral lists this long non-coding RNA (450 nucleotides) under Vitis vinifera (wine grape). RNAcentral describes it as "long non-coding RNA (VVIN_LNC003172)". Lineage: Eukaryota; Viridiplantae; Streptophyta; Magnoliopsida; Vitales; Vitaceae. The record is from RNAcentral.
UGAGAGAUGGCAGAAACAACACUCGGGAUCCGCUGAUGAUCGACCAAUUGCUGUUGUGGUUGUUGCGGCGGGGGGGCGGGCUGCUGCUGCUGAUUAUUAUUGUUAUUAUUAUUAUUGAAUGAGUGCUGAUGCUGCAAAUGUUGCUGAAGAAGGUGAGACUGAGUCUGAGAUUGAGCCUGGUUGGUGUUUUCAUGUAUGCCUUGAAGAAAGGCCUGUUGAGGCUGAGAUUGCUGCAACAUCUGGGGCUGCAUUAUACAAGAAGACCUGCUGGCAACAUUUUGGGGUUGCUGGUAAUGCAGAAGGGGUGCAGGUGCCUGUUUGGAUGGAUCCACAGCCCUCAUCUCCUGAAGAGCAGCAGCAGCCAUAGCUUGGUACAUGUCUGUCUGCAGACCCAGCAUGGAAGCGUCAAGCCUUGGUUGCAUCCAAGGAUUAACCCCGAUUCCCUGAAAG